Molecule: ribozyme, 88 nt
Filed under: unclassified sequences
Description: pistol ribozyme
Rfam family: Pistol ribozyme
Source: RNAcentral
GCUCGUCUGAGCGAGUAAAAAACACAUUAGGCUCAGAGCGUCCCCCAUGCACUAAACUGCGUAGACGCUGGUGUUUGGGGGGGUUGAA